GGGCCCGUGGCUCAGCCUGGUUAGAGCGCCCGCCUGAUAAGCGGGAGGUCCGGGGUUCGAAGCCCCGCGGGCCCACCA
This 78-nucleotide transfer RNA is filed under the name Pyrococcus horikoshii. RNAcentral's name for it is "tRNA-Ile". It matches the Rfam family "tRNA". Rfam says of the family: Transfer RNA (tRNA) molecules are approximately 80 nucleotides in length. Their secondary structure includes four short double-helical elements and three loops (D, anti-codon, and T loops). Lineage: Archaea; Methanobacteriati; Methanobacteriota; Thermococci; Thermococcales; Thermococcaceae. The record is from RNAcentral. RNAcentral also lists the same sequence under 12 other names.